AGUGAACGCUGGCGGUAGGCCUAACACAUGCGAGUCGAACGGCAGCACAGUAAGAGCUUGCUCUUACGGGUGGCGAGUGGCGGACGGGUGAGGAAUACAUCGGAAUCUACUUUUUCGUGGGGGAUAACGUAGGGAAACUUACGCUAAUACCGCAUACGACCUACGGGUGAAAGCAGGGGAUCUUCGGACCUUGCGCGAUUGAAUGAGCCGAUGUCGGAUUAGCUAGUUGGCGGGGUAAAGGCCCACCAAGGCGACGAUCCGUAGCUGGUCUGAGAGGAUGAUCAGCCACACUGGAACUGAGACACGGUCCCGACUCCUACGGGAGGCAGCAGUGGGGAAUAUUGGACAAUGGGCGCAAGCCUGAUCCAGCCAUACCGCGUGGGUGAAGAAGGCCUUCGGGUUGUAAAGCCCUUUUGUUGGGAAAGAAAAGCAGCAGGUUAAUACCCCGCUGUUCUGACGGUACCCAAAGAAUAAGCACCGGCUAACUUC
RNAcentral lists this ribosomal RNA (489 nucleotides) under uncultured bacterium. RNAcentral's name for it is "partial 16S ribosomal RNA". It matches the Rfam family "Bacterial small subunit ribosomal RNA", at positions 29 to 504 of the family's 1533-position model. The record is from RNAcentral.